RNAcentral lists this small RNA (133 nucleotides) under Arabidopsis thaliana (thale cress). RNAcentral describes it as "ATSL236950". The record is from RNAcentral. Lineage: Eukaryota; Viridiplantae; Streptophyta; Magnoliopsida; Brassicales; Brassicaceae.
AAAAAUACUUCAUUAAAGAAUUGAUGCUGCUGUCUGCACAGUUGAGAACGCAAUUGGAAACUUUCGUGCAUUCACUUUGUUCGCCGCAAAUUGGAUAUGUGAACGUGGUCAUCAUUAUUUAUAGAAUUAUUCU